AUGGGAGAGGCUUUGAGAGGGGAGGCGCAGCUUGUGACCGGUCCCAGGGACUCACGUGUGGGUGUACAAAGCCUGUGCCGCACAGGAAACGAAGUCAAAGGCUCCCUUUGUCCCCACCCCCUCCCCCCCAAGAGGAGAAAAUCAGCCCCAGCGAGGAUUUUGGAGCUGGACGGGCUGGCGCGAUCCUGGAGAAUCACCCCCGAAGCCUGCGCUCUCCCAGGGAACGCUUUGCCAGGCUCUGAAGAAGCUACGCAGGCUCGGGAGGAAAAGCAGCAGCGGAAAAGCUGUAUGGAGGAAGCAGCCUCUGUAUGUUCCAGCUGAGAGAAUGCCCACACGGCCGAGACAGCAAGAGCAAUGGAGUAAUGGUCUAGGAAACAGCUGAAGUGAGCCAACCCGGGGUUGCUAUCUGCCUGCAAAGCAGCGAUAAAAGGAGCGCAAGGCCGUCUGGUUCAAUUUUUGGAGGAUCCACAGCUAUAGGGCCCAGACGUAAGCUGAAUGUGCUUCUGAGGUUGCAAAAAUUGGCUGUUUCUUUGACCAUAUUAUUCACCUGCCUAACUUACUGCUAGAAAACUGCUAAGGAAGACAUUCAGAAUUGGAAAAGGAGAAAAAGAUCUUAAGCAGCAUUGAGAGAUAUUUUAGUGGUUAAGAGGAUGACCUAGGAGUUCCCGUCGUGGCGCAGUGGUUAAUGAAUCUGACUAGUAAACCAUGAGGUUGCCGGUUCGAUCCCCGGCCUUGCUCAGUGGGCUAAGGAUCUGGCGUUGCCAUGAGCUGUGGUGUAGGUUACAGACGCACUAGGAUCCCGCAUUGCUGUGGCUACAGCUCCAAUUCGACCCCUAGCGUGGGAACUUCCAUAUGCCGUGGGAGCGGUCCAAGAAAUGGCAAAAAGACAAAGAAAAAAAAAGAGGAUGGCCUUCAUGGUUUCGACAUGGACUUAUUCUCAUGACGGUGCUGAAAGUUAGGACACAAAUGCCGUGGGGUGUGGUCCUUGCCUGCCCUGACGUAGCUUCACAAUCCUGUUGGGGGCAACAAAGCUAACACAGGCAUUUAAAACAGUGGCAAGACGGAGUUCCUGCUGGGGCGCAUCAGGAUCAGCGGCCUCUUUGGAGUCCUGGGACACAGGUUCGAUCCCUGGCCUGACACAGUCGGUUAAGGAUCCAGGGUUGCCACAGCCUCCUGGUGUAGGUUACAACUGUGUCUCAGAUCUGAUCCCUGUCCCAGGAACUCUAUAUGCCAUGGAGCUGCAAAAAAUAAAUGAAUAUGUAAAUAAAUGAAACA
RNAcentral lists this long non-coding RNA (1275 nucleotides) under Sus scrofa (pig). RNAcentral describes it as "lncRNA (ENSSSCG00070025772.1)". The record is from RNAcentral. Lineage: Eukaryota; Metazoa; Chordata; Mammalia; Artiodactyla; Suidae.